AACGCUGGCGGCGUGCCUAACACAUGCAAGUCGAACGAAGCGCCUCGCCCGAUGAAGUGGAGUGCUUGCACAAAGCAGAAUCAAUUGAGGCGACUUAGUGGCGGACGGGUGAGUAACGCGUGGGUAACCUGCCGUAUGCAGGGGGAUAACAGUUAGAAAUGACUGCUAAUACCGCAUAAGCGCACAGUAUCGCAUGAUACAGUGUGAAAAGCCGAGACGGCAUACGAUGGACCCGCGUCUGAUUAGCCAGUUGGCAGGGUAACGGCCUACCAAAGCAACGAUCAGUAGCCGGCCUGAGAGGGUGAACGGCCACAUUGGGACUGAGACACGGCCCAAACUCCUACGGGAGGCAGCAGUGGGGGAUAUUGCACAAUGGGGGAAACCCUGAUGCAAGCGACGCCGCGUGAGUGAAGAAGUAUUUCGGUAUGUAAAGCUCUAUCAGCAGGGAAGAAAAUGACGGUACCUGACUAAGAAGCUCCGGCUAAAUACGUGCCAGCAGCCGC
Molecule: ribosomal RNA, 503 nt
Filed under: uncultured bacterium
Lineage: Bacteria
Description: bacterial SSU rRNA
Rfam family: Bacterial small subunit ribosomal RNA
Source: RNAcentral